GGGGUACACGAGCGGCGAACGGGUGAGUAACACGUGGGUGAUCUGCCCUGCACUUCGGGAUAAGCCUGGGAAACUGGGUCUAAUACCGGAUAUGACCUCGGGCUGCAUGGCCUGGGGUGGAAAGGUUUACUGGUGCAGGAUGGGCCCGCGGCCUAUCAGCUUGUUGGUGGGGUAAUGGCCUACCAAGGCGACGACGGGUAGCCGACCUGAGAGGGUGACCGGCCACACUGGGACUGAGACACGGCCCAGACUCCUACGGGAGGCAGCAGUGGGGAAUAUUGCACAAUGGGCGAAAGCCUGAUGCAGCGACGCCGCGUGAGGGAUGACGGCCUUCGGGUUGUAAACCUCUUUCAGCAGGGACGAAGCGCAAGUGACGGUACCUGCAGAAAAAGCACCGGCCAACUACGUGCCAGCAGCCGCGGUAAUACGUAGGGUGCGAGCGUUGUCCGGAAUUACUGGGCGUAAAGAGUUCGUAGGCGGUUUGUCGCGUCGUCUGUGAAAACCCACCGCUCAACGGGGGGCCUGCAGGCGAUACGGGCAGACUUGAGUACUGCAGGGGAGACUGGAAUUCCUGGUGUAGCGGUGAAAUGCGCAGAUAUCAGGAGGAACACCGGUGGCGAAGGCGGGUCUCUGGGCAGUAACUGACGCUGAGGAACGAAAGCGUGGGUAGCGAACAGGAUUAGAUACCCU
This 690-nucleotide ribosomal RNA is filed under the name Rhodococcus sp. 30AAIII. RNAcentral's name for it is "bacterial SSU rRNA". It matches the Rfam family "Bacterial small subunit ribosomal RNA", at positions 84 to 788 of the family's 1533-position model. The record is from RNAcentral. Lineage: Bacteria; Bacillati; Actinomycetota; Actinomycetes; Mycobacteriales; Nocardiaceae.